UGGGGAAUAUUGCACAAUGGGCGCAAGCCUGAUGCAGCGACGCCGCGUGAGGGAUGGAGGCCUUCGGGUUGUAAACCUCUUUCGCCAGUGAAGCAGGCCAUCUUCUUUGUUGGGUGGUUGACGGUGGCUGGAUAAGAAGCGCCGGCUAACUACGUGCCAGCAGCCGCGGUAAUACGUAGGGCGCGAGCGUUGUCCGGAAUUAUUGUGCGUAAAGAGCUCGUAGGCGGCUGGUCGCGUCUGUCGUGAAAUCCCCUGGCUUAACUGGGGUCUAGCGGUGAGAACGGGACGGCUUGAGUGCGGUAGGGGAGACUGGAAUUCCUGGUGUAGCGGUGGAAUGCGCAGAUAUCAGGAGGGACCACGGUGGGGAAGGCGGGUCUCUGGGCCGUUACUGACGCUGAAGAGCGAAAGCGUGGGGAUCGAACAGG
RNAcentral lists this ribosomal RNA (425 nucleotides) under bacterium. RNAcentral's name for it is "partial 16S ribosomal RNA". It matches the Rfam family "Bacterial small subunit ribosomal RNA", at positions 355 to 776 of the family's 1533-position model. The record is from RNAcentral.